This 352-nucleotide unclassified non-coding RNA is filed under the name soil metagenome. RNAcentral's name for it is "partial contains 5.8S ribosomal RNA, internal transcribed spacer 2, and large subunit ribosomal RNA". The stretch from base 1 to 120 matches the Rfam family "5.8S ribosomal RNA", at positions 35 to 154 of the family's 154-position model. The record is from RNAcentral.
GAUGAAGAACGCAGCGGAAUGCGAUAAGUAAUGUGAAUUGCAGAGUUCAGUGAAUCAUCGAAUCUUUGAACGCACAUUGCGCCCGCCAGUAUUCUGGCGGGCAUGCCUGUUCGAGCGUCAUUACAACCCUCAGGCCCCCGGGCCUGGCGUUGGGGAUCGGCGGAGCCCCCCGUGGGCACACGCCGUCCCCCAAAUACAGUGGCGGUCCCGCCGCAGCUUCCAUCGCGUAGUAGCUAACACCUCGCGACUGGAGAGCGGCGCGGCCACGCCGUAAAACACCCAACUCUUCUGAAGUUGACCUCGAAUCAGGUAGGAAUACCCGCUGAACUUAAGCAUAUCAAUAAGCGGAGGA